Molecule: ribosomal RNA, 890 nt
Filed under: uncultured bacterium
Lineage: Bacteria
Description: bacterial SSU rRNA
Rfam family: Bacterial small subunit ribosomal RNA
Source: RNAcentral
GAACGGGUGAGUAAUGUAUCGGAACGUACCCAGUAGCGGGGGAUAACUACGCGAAAGCGUGGCUAAUACCGCAUAUGCCCUACGGGGGAAAGGGGGGGAUCGCACGACCUCUCACUAUUGGAGCGGCCGAUAUCGGAUUAGCUGGUUGGUGAGGUAGAGGCUCACCAAGGCUGCGAUCCGUAGCUGGUUUGAGAGGACGACCAGCCACACUGGGACUGAGACACGGCCCAUACUCCUACGGGAGGCAGCAGUGGGGAAUUUUGGACAAUGGGGGCAACCCUGAUCCAGCCAUCCCGCGUGUGCGAUGAAGGCCUUCGGGUUGUAAAGCACUUUUGGCAGGGAAGAAAGGGCGCUGGUUAAUAGCUGGCGUUGAUGACGGUACCUGCAGAAUAAGCACCGGCUAACUACGUGCCAGCAGCCGCGGUAAUACGUAGGGUGCAAGCGUUAAUCGGAAUUACUGGGCGUAAAGGGUGCGUCGGCGGUUUGGCAAGAAAGGUGUGAAAUCCCAGGGCUUAACCUUGGAACUGCACUUUUAACUGCCAGGCUAGAGUACGUCAGAGGGGGGUAGAAUUCCACGUGUAGCAGUGAAAUGCGUAGAGAUGUGGAGGAAUACCGAUGGCGAAGGCAGCCCCCUGGGAUGAUACUGACGCUCAGGCACGAAAGCGUGGGGAGCAAACAGGAUUAGAUACCCUGGUAGUCCACGCCCUAAACGAUGUCAACUAGCUGUUGGGGCCGUUAGGCUUUAGUAGCGCAGCUAACGCGUGAAGUUGACCGCCUGGGGAGUACGGUCGCAAGAUUAAAACUCAAAGGAAUUGACGGGGACCCGCACAAGCGGUGGAUGAUGUGGAUUAAUUCGAUGCAACGCGAAAAACCUUACCUACCCUCGACAU